RNAcentral lists this ribosomal RNA (492 nucleotides) under uncultured bacterium. Its description in RNAcentral is "partial 16S ribosomal RNA". It matches the Rfam family "Bacterial small subunit ribosomal RNA", at positions 29 to 507 of the family's 1533-position model. The record is from RNAcentral.
AGUGAACGCUGGCGGUAGGCCUAACGCAUGCAAGUCGAACGGCAGCACAGUAAGAGCUUGCUCUUACGGGUGGCGAGUGGCGGACGGGUGAGGAAUACAUCGGAAUCUACUUUUUCGUGGGGGAUAACGUAGGGAAACUUACGCUAAUACCGCAUACGACCUACGGGUGAAAGCAGGGGAUCUUCGGACCUUGCGCGAUUGAAUGAGCCGAUGUCGGAUUAGCUAGUUGGCGGGGUAAAGGCCCACCAAGGCGACGAUCCGUAGCUGGUCUGAGAGGAUGAUCAGCCACACUGGAAUUGAGACACGGUCCAGACUCCUACGGGAGGCAGCAGUGGGGAAUAUUGGACAAUGGGCGCAAGCCUGAUCCAGCCAUACCGCGUGGGUGAAGAAGGCCUUCGGGUUGUAAAGCCCUUUUGUUGGGAAAGAAAAGCAGCAGGUUAAUACCCCGCUGUUCUGACGGUACCCAAAGAAUAAGCACCGGCUAACUUCGUG